Molecule: long non-coding RNA, 1756 nt
Filed under: Pogona vitticeps (central bearded dragon)
Lineage: Eukaryota; Metazoa; Chordata; Lepidosauria; Squamata; Agamidae
Description: lncRNA (ENSPVIG00000006765.1)
Source: RNAcentral
CUUGUCGUGUUCUUUGUUACAUUUCUUACAUCUCUAGCUGUGUAACUAUUAUGCUUAUGUCUAUUUAUUAUUAUUUUUAUUAACUUUUCUAUCUGUAUGCUUUUAACUUCUCUAUGCCAAUAAAGGUUACUUUGAAUUGGAUAAUUGAAUGCCCUCUGUAUGCAGAUUGGAGGGAUCAAUAUCUUAAACCCUUAACAAUUGGGAUCAAUAUCUCUUCCCCUUUAUAUACAGUUUUAUUUCUGCUGUCUGGCACAGACGUCUAUAUAUUCCACAGGACCGCUAAACUCGUUAAAGAAGCCAUGGAAAGACUAAACUUAUUGCCCGCUUCACAAGCUCUUCAAGUUAAUUUUCCAACUUAAUGCUUGUUUGAGAAUGCUUAUUUCAUUAUUUCAUGCUUUUCUUAUUGUUUAUGUGUACUUAUAUUAGAUGUCAAAUACCAUUUUUAAAGAAUUGUUUAAUUUCUGUUUAUAUGUACAGCCUGACUGGCCACGAAGCAAUAAAAUAUUUGUAUAGUGUUGUCUGCUCUAAUUUGCUACCCUCUUGGUUUUUUUUUUAAAUCCUUUCUAUGACUCUACUGUAUUUUGAAAUUUUUCUUUUAUAUUUAUUUUGGUGUUCAUCUUGUUCUAAGCUAGUUCAAACUGGUAUCUGCCUAGGAAGGUAUCAAUGUGCAGAUGAAAUUAAAUUGUACUGAGAAGCCUCCCUGUAGGAAAAAAAGAACAUAUUUGAUGUAAUUACGUUGUGGAUAAUUCUAAUGUGUACACCAUACUUAUUAAAAUAUAUUUCAAAGUGUCAAACGGUCCGAUCUCUGUGUUUGACAAGGGAUGCAGCCUCUAUUUAGAGAACAGUUUCUGGUUGCUUCAAUGAAUGCUUUCACCUCAGUGAAACAUUACACUGCACAGAGCCAAAUAAUUGCUAAACAGAACUUACAGAGAGGAACCAUCAGUCAGAACAUAGAAAUGUUACCUUUUUUGGACUAUAAAUUUCCUUCAAAUUGUAGUCCCAAAAUAAAGUUUCCAACCUCUGUACACAACACCGAUAGUGGCCUUGUUUGCUGUUUUGCAGCACUGGGUUAUUAAUGUUUAACUUUCUCCUUCCUGAUGGUCAACUAAACUACUCUGACCUCCAGCAGGUAAUCCAUGGAAAUUACACGUGCUGCUAUAAAUCAAGAAUCCUUAUCUGUAAUGUGAAUCUGUCAUCCUUGCUCUUGAAAAUAUAUAUACAACUUGAAGAUUGACAAUGAAGACAUUGAAACUGCUAAAGAACUGUAUGCCUUGCUUCAACCAUCAAUCCAAAUGAAGAGUGUAGCCAAGGAAUCAGAAGAAGACCGAGACUUGGAAUGGUAACAAUUUAGGUAAAGGUAAAGGUUCCCCUUGACAAUUUUUGUCCAGUCGUGUUUGACUCUAGGGGGCAGUGCUCAUCCCUGUUUCCAAGCCAUAGAGCCAGCGUUUUGUCCGAAGACAAUCUUCCGGGGUCACAUGGCCAGUGCGACUUAGACACGGAACGCUGUUUCCUUCCCACCGAAGUGGUCCCUAUUAAUCUACUCGCAUUUGCGUGCUUUCGAAACGCUAGGUUGGCGGGAGCUGGGACAAGUGACGGGCCCUCACUCCGUCACGUGGAUUUGGUCUUACGACUGCUUGGUCUUCUGCCCCUGCAGCACAGGCUUCUGCGGUUUAGCCCACAGCGCCACCACGUCCCCUAGGAAAUAGAAAAAAAAACCAAUCAAGUGUAAGGAUGUACCACUGGAGACAAAGGCCAA